CCAAAUUCCACCAUGUCAACCUAAUCCCCAAUCCAUUUUCCCAUCCGUCUCUAAUUUUCCCGCAUUUUCUCUCUCUUCCGGCGAUAUUGGAUCCGACUUCUCUGAUAUAUAUUUUUUUACUCCAACACCACUUAGUCCCUUCAAAUCGGAAGAGAAAAAUAAGCCCCAAUUUCUUAUCUUCCGAGGGUUUUCCACUUAGGUUCUUCUUCUUCUUGGAUCUAGGAUUAUUAGAAUCUUUGAUUUUGGGUUAUUCGUGAUAUUUACUUCUUUGGGUUGCUUUUGUUUUUCUGGAGGGGUUUUACAUUGUUAAUUUUUUGGAGUUCGGGGUAGAUUAUAAAAGGGGAAUUCUCAAUAGCCAAUGCCAUAUUUCAUGUUUGGGUAAUUGGUACUUCAUAUUUUCUGCGUAGGUUUUUUUUUAGAGACCGAAAAAAAGGUGAUCAAUGUCUUGGGCAGGCCCUGAAGAUAUCUACCUAUCUACUUCUCUUGCCAGUUAUCUUGACAGCACAGAAAGCAGAAAGGGAGGCAACAGAUCUCAAAGGUACAAUGAGGAAAAGAAUGGAGUUUCUUGAUUUGGACUAAUGCAUGUCCCCUGCCUCCUCUUUUAGCGAUCCACAAGUAUUAUGGCGGUUGUUGGUGUAGUAGAUGCGUUGUGUAGGCUAGAAGAUCCUCCAUCUCCCUCUCAGCAUCCAGUUAUUGUAACAUUUGUGAACAAUGUUUCUGACUAGGCUUAGCCUCGAUUUGCUGGUGCCUUAAAAUUAGUUUUGAACUCUAGUUGGAUAUUUUCACUUAUGGGAAGUCUCCCAGGUUACUUUAUGUU
Hibiscus syriacus is the source of this 817-nucleotide long non-coding RNA. RefSeq lists it as uncharacterized. Lineage: Eukaryota; Viridiplantae; Streptophyta; Magnoliopsida; Malvales; Malvaceae. The record is from RefSeq and is a predicted model, not a curated record. The transcript has 2 exons.